RNAcentral lists this long non-coding RNA (3818 nucleotides) under Brassica napus (rape). RNAcentral describes it as "long non-coding RNA (BNAP_LNC010956)". The record is from RNAcentral. Lineage: Eukaryota; Viridiplantae; Streptophyta; Magnoliopsida; Brassicales; Brassicaceae.
AGGACUAUAAGGUGUGGAAACGUUGGGAAAGAGACUGCUGUUUCACCUGAUUAUAACACUAGUGUUGCUUCUUGUAAAGCCUGUGGUAGCUUUGUUGAUGUUCAUGGUUCUAGUUCUGUACCUGAAGAGAGUGGAAAGAGCAUGGUUUGUGUUUCUGAAUCAACUCCCUUCGAGAGGAGUAAAAGAAGUGUGCAUUGGAGAAAUCAAGAACCAUCUAUGCCUGUUUCUGGUAAAGGCAGAGGCUGUAUAGAUCAAAUGGAGAGGAAGGCUCUUCACCGUGCUCGGUUUCCUCCUGUCCCUGAAUCUUACACCUUACAGAGAAGCAGAGGUUCGUCUUCACCUGCAAAUGCCAUCAACUAUAAAGACAAGGACUUUAUUGCCAUGAAUAGAGGUUCAGCUAGCAGAGCUAAAUUUGAAAACUCUGGUUUGAAUCUGCAGAGAAGGUCUCACACUAGAAUUGAGGAGUCUUGUAAUAGAUCAGGUCUGAACACUUGUGCACGGAAGAGAAGGCCAGCUUGUGAAACCGCGUUUUCUCCAUUGAAACUUGGUUCCCCUCAAAGAGAUUAUAGCCAAUGCUGCAGAGAAACUAAAGAGAGAAAAAGACCGCCACGUGUUCCAAAUCAGAUGGGUCAGAAAAGAAUACAAGUUGAUGCCGGUACUGUGGGUUUGAUUCAGCAGAAGUUGGAAGAAAUCACUUCUCAAGAAGAAGAUGCAUUGCCCAGUAAACCGGCCUCUUUGAUCCUCCAUGAGUUGCUUUCUUCACUAGCACGCGAGCAGACUUACUCCAGGGAUGUUGAUAAUCGGGUAUGUUUUAUAAUACUCUGCAAGAAUGUUUUAGUAUUUUUUUUUUCAUUUUCUAUUCAUUCUUCUUUCUUAACUCUUGCAGAAGAAAGGCAAAACAGAGAUGUGGAGUUCCAUUGGAAAUGCAAACAGUGACUACACAAGCCCUGGUUCUGUACUGGAUGCAUCUUUCUCUAACGAGAGUUGCUUUUCCAAUAGCUUUGACAAUAUCUCAGGUUACAUAAAGAUCUAUUCAGACAGUAAUUUAAGUUCUUGAAUCUGAAACCUGAAACUGCCGUUAUGAUUUGUGUAGUUCCAGGACAGAUGAGGAUGCCUCUAGAGCCAGUAGAGCCCGAUUGGGACGUUCUUGAAGACUCCGCGACUUUGUUCAAGAACUCAACGAGUGUUGGUAACUAUCAAGCGAUCACCAGUCUGGUCAGCCAUGUCUCCAACGUCCUGCGAAGCUUAAGCAACACAGGUCUCAUAUUAACGCUGCAGAGAUUCACCAACGCAAGAGAAGUAAUAAUCCACACCGAGCUAUUGGCUGCUCAAGACAACUACCUCAUCGGGCAAGAACUCUUCGACGAACUUAUGAUUUACGCAGCUCGUUCCGAUAAUCUGCUUAAUCUCCCUGGAAUAACCGGAGGGUUCCUUGUUGAUGCAAUGGUCGAACACUUGGAAGAAAUAAACAUUUCCUGCGGAUUAAAGCCUUCGAGUGCUGAAGCAUCCGAGUUGAUUCAAGGUGUUCUUGGGGAAGUUCCAAAGUGGGCAGCAUUGGCACGGGUUGAGAUGGACGAAGUUGUCGGUAUCGAGAUGGAGAAAUGGAUGGAUCUUGAAACCCAUUUGUUUGGAGUUGGAUCAGAGAUUGCGUAUGAGAUCGUUAUGUGUUUGGUUGAAGAGUUAGCUAUGGAUCUACUUUAGUAUUUGUGUAAUUCACACUAUUAAACCAUUUGAAUCAUAUGAUCAAUGCUUAUUGUUAGAAUAGUAUCACAAAUCAACAAACCAAAUCAUAAUAAAAACAAACGAUUCAAUCUUUAUCAAUCAAAACCUAAAAACAAAUCAAAUCGUGUUCGAUUAGACAUUAAGUUUGUCUGUAACCUAGAAUAGUCCGACCACCACCACCACCGCUGACUGAUUUCCUCCUCCCUCCUCCUCCUCCUCCGCCGAGUGACUUCCUUCCACCGCCAUUAAUGGCUGAAGCUACGGCGGUGGAAAUUUAAAAGGGGUGUAAAACAAUCUCUCUCGAGCCCCUUUCACCGCCAGUGACAGCAGAGAGAAUCACACAGUAAAAGGAUUUUUAACUCUCUCAUCUCUCUUUCAGUCACUUCGUCACUAUCGUUUAGCUUUUGUCUCCUUUCACCUUUUUAACUCAACUGCGAAUAUUACCCGUUGAGUUGAGUCCCAUUUUUUGAUAAAACACUUUUUUUAUCUUCUUUUUAAAAGCUCAGUUUCUUUUUUGUAAUAAAAAAUAAAUCAGAGUGUGUUUCUUCUUCUUCUUCCACUGUACAAAUCGUCGUUUUGCUGAUUUCCAUCUGUCUCCUUUCUUUCCCCUUUCUCGUAACUUGUCGAUAUUUUGCUCUAAUGUACACUCUUCUUCUCUGCUUUUCCUAAAGAGAUUCUUCUUCUUCUUCUUCCUCCUCCUCCUCACGAGCUCCAAAGUUUCAGAAAAAAACUGACAAUCUUUUUUUUCUUUUACAGAAUCGCAAUUCAAAGAAAGUCUUUUAUCUUAAGCUGUGAGCUCAGAUUCUGUCAAGAUAUUCUUUCACCAGAGAAUGAUAGUUCUUAAGCUUGAGCUUCAGAUUCUGUCUAGAUAUUCUUUCACCAGAGAAUGAUUGUUCUUCUCCGGUGAAGUUAUUGGAAUGCGAAACGUUUAUCUGUGAGGUGUUUCCUUCUCUCUGAGCUUUUGUGUCGGUCGUUAGGGUUUGGUGGUAAUGACGGGUGAGUUACAGGAGACGGUGGCGCCGUGUGGGGCCAUAACUGAGAAACGGCCAAGCCGACUCAGCGGUUGCGUCGGCGUAUUCUUCCAGCUCUUCGAUUGGAACCGACGCUUCUCCAAAAAGAAGCUCUUUUCUCGCAAAUCUCUUCUUCCUGGUUAGUGCCUCGGUUUAUUAUCUACACGGUUGUGUCUGAAAAUGAAAAAGAGAUUCUUGUUUCGUUUUUUUUUUCUCAGGGAAACAAGCUUCUAAGAGGUUUGGUGGGAAUGAUAAACUGCUCAAAUCUAAGCUUAACCUGGUGAUUAUUUCCCCCUUUUUUAGUUAAAAGUUUAAAUCUCUAGUUUGGUUUGAGUUGUAUGUCUCUUUUGUUUUGAAGAUUGAUGAUGAGAAGAGAGGAAGUUUCCCGAACCGAGGUGAAGUUGUGGACUUUAAAAGGCAUGAGAUGAGACCUCCUAGUUUGGUAGCACGUUUGAUGGGACUUGAAUCAAUACCUUCUAAUCACAAGAAGAAGAAGAAGUCAUCACAUUUGAUGAAUCAGGACAAGGAUAAAUGCCUUUUGUCUGAGGAGGAAGAAGAAGAAGAAGAUAGUGGUUUGGAUAAGUCUAGGCCACAGAAGAUGCAGAGAACAAUAAGAGGUGUGUGCGACAGGCGUGUUAUGGUGAAGAAGUUUGGAUCAGACGCCAUGCAGAUCAAGAACGUUUUGACCCGAGUAAGGAAACAUCAUCACCAGCAUCAGAAUCUGGCUUCUCCUGUUAAAAGCCCGAGGCUUCAGAGGCGUAACUCUAGGUUGAUCAACGCUGCUGCUAGGAUUCUGGAACCGGGGAAGAGAAAUUCGAAAUACAACGCUAUUGCUUAUCCAAGUUCUUCCAGGACUAUAAGGUGUGGAAACGUUGGGAAAGAGACUGCUGUUUCACCUGAUUAUAACACUAGUGUUGCUUCUUGUAAAGCCUGUGGUAGCUUUGUUGAUGUUCAUGGUUCUAGUUCUGUACCUGAAGAGAGUGGAAAGAGCAUGGUUUGUGUUUCUGAAUCAACUCCCUUCGAGAGGAGUAAAAGAAGUGUGCAUUGGAGAAAUCAAGAACCAUCUAUGCCUGUUUCUGGUAAAGG